AUACGUAGGGGGCGAGCGUUGUCCGGAAUGAUUGGGCGUAAAGGGCGCGUAGGCGGCCCGGUAAGUCUGGAGUGAAAGUCCUGUUUUUAAGAUGGGAAUUGCUUUGGAUACUGUCGGGCUUGAGUGCAGGAGAGAUAAGUGGAAUUCCCAGUGUAGCGGUGAAAUGCGUAGAGAUUGGGAGGAACACCAGUGGCGAAGGCGACUUACUGGACUGUAACUGACGCUGAGGCGCGAAAGUGUGGGGAGCAAACAGGAUUAGAUACCCUGGUAGUCCACACUGUAAACGAUGAAUGCUAGGUGUAGGGGGUAUCGACCCCUUCUGUGCCGCAGUCAACACAAUAAGCAUUCCGCCUGGGGAGUACGGCCGCAAGGUUGAAACUCAAAUGAAUUGGCGGGG
Molecule: ribosomal RNA, 397 nt
Filed under: uncultured bacterium
Lineage: Bacteria
Description: partial 16S ribosomal RNA
Rfam family: Bacterial small subunit ribosomal RNA
Source: RNAcentral